Molecule: ribosomal RNA, 253 nt
Filed under: uncultured bacterium
Lineage: Bacteria
Description: partial 16S ribosomal RNA
Rfam family: Bacterial small subunit ribosomal RNA
Source: RNAcentral
UACGUAGGUGGCAAGCGUUGUCCGGAUUUAUUGGGUUUAAAGGGUGCGUAGGUGGUCUAUUAAGUCAGUGCUGAAAUAUCCCGGCUUAACCGGGAGGGUGGCAUUGAUACUGAUGGACUUGAGUAAAGUUGAGGUAGGCGGAAUUGACGGUGUAGCGGUGAAAUGCUUAGAUAUCGUCAAGAACACCGACAGCGAAGGCAGCUUACUAAGCUUUAACUGACGCUGAUGCACGAAAGUGUGGGGAUCAAACAGG